This 243-nucleotide long non-coding RNA is filed under the name Meleagris gallopavo (turkey). RNAcentral describes it as "lncRNA (ENSMGAG00000018804.1)". The record is from RNAcentral. Lineage: Eukaryota; Metazoa; Chordata; Aves; Galliformes; Phasianidae.
AUGCAAGGUCUGCAGUCUCUGCUAUAUAAAUCUUAUUUGCUUCUGCAACUGCCUGGGAGGCUGGAGUUUGGGAACAGGAUUGUGUCUGUGGCCUGUUGGGAGUUUUGGUUGCUGAAAAUCAUGAUGUCUAUGGUGGUGGGCUUGGAAAAGAUGACACAGACACUGUUCAAAAGGAGUUCAGUAGCUUUGUGGCCAGGUGUGAAGAUGACAGCGUUGAAAAUGAAGGAGAAUCUUAGCUCAUAA